AAAAUCCGUCGACUUUAAAAAUCGGGA
This 27-nucleotide transfer RNA is filed under the name Turnera genistoides. RNAcentral describes it as "partial tRNA-Leu". Lineage: Eukaryota; Viridiplantae; Streptophyta; Magnoliopsida; Malpighiales; Passifloraceae. The record is from RNAcentral.